This 118-nucleotide ribosomal RNA is filed under the name Prolemur simus (greater bamboo lemur). Lineage: Eukaryota; Metazoa; Chordata; Mammalia; Primates; Lemuridae. The record is from RNAcentral.
GUCUAUGGCCAUACCACCCUGGAUGCACCCAAUCUUAUCUGAUCUCAGAAGCUAAGCAGGGUCGGGCCUAAUUAGUACUUAGAUGGAAGGAACCAAAAAGUUAAUAGCAUUAUAAGUA